This 439-nucleotide ribosomal RNA is filed under the name uncultured bacterium. RNAcentral's name for it is "partial 16S ribosomal RNA". It matches the Rfam family "Bacterial small subunit ribosomal RNA", at positions 339 to 795 of the family's 1533-position model. The record is from RNAcentral.
CUACGGGCGGCAGCAGUGAGGAAUAUUGCACAAUGGGGGGAACCCUGAUGCAGCAACGCCGCGUGGAGGAUGACGCAUUUCGGUGUGUAAACUCCUUUUAUAUGUCAAGAAAAUGACGGUAGCAUAUGAAUAAGCACCGGCUAACUCCGUGCCAGCAGCCGCGGUAAUACGGAGGGUGCAAGCGUUACUUGGAAUCACUGGGCGUAAAGGACGCGUAGGCGGGUUGGAAAGUCAGGUGUGAAAUCCUACAGCUUAACUGUAGAACUGCACUUGAAACUUCUAAUCUAGAGUAUGGGAGGGGGAGAUGGAAUUAGUGGUGUAGGGGUAAAAUCCGUAAAUAUCACUAGGAAUACCUAAAGCGAAGGCGAUCUCCUGGAACAUUACUGACGCUAAGGCGUGAAAGCGUGGGGAGCAAACAGGAUUAGAUACCCCGGUAGUC